This 302-nucleotide long non-coding RNA is filed under the name Androctonus crassicauda. The record is from RNAcentral. Lineage: Eukaryota; Metazoa; Arthropoda; Arachnida; Scorpiones; Buthidae.
AUACAUGGAUGACAUUAAGCUGUACACCUCAAAAAAAACAAUUACAGCAGCUGUUACAAAUCAUGCACACAUUUUCAAAAAACAUCCACAUGGAGUUUGGCCUAGACAAAUGCAAAACAUUCCACAUAGAAAAGGGAGUCCUAAAGAAAGGAGACCCCACUCUUGAAAAUGAAAACAUAUCGAAUCCAUGGAAGAGGGUGAAGUGUAUAUAUAUUUAGGAUUCCACCAGGCCAGACUCACAGAACAGAAAAAAACUAGACAAACACUGUCAAAACUGUACACAAACAGAUUAAAUAACAUUC